GUCUACAGCCAUACCACCCUGAACGCGCCCGAUCUCGUCUGAUCUCGGAAGCUAAGCAGGGUCGAGCCUGGUUAGUACUUGGAUGGGAGAAUUGACAUCUGUACCUC
This 107-nucleotide ribosomal RNA is filed under the name Felis catus (domestic cat). The record is from RNAcentral. Lineage: Eukaryota; Metazoa; Chordata; Mammalia; Carnivora; Felidae.